UAAAAAAAAUAUUUGAAUUCAAAAAUAGCUUAUAAAUUGAAUAAAAUAUAAUAAAAAAAUAUGCACUUGCGAAAUGAUAGUUGAUAAAUUCUUUCUCCUCAGCUGUGAUACAAACCCCCGACCUCUCUUGUAUAACUUGAACAGACUAGCAUUUACACUACAAACCAUAAUGAGCUGGAAAGUUUGUUAGUUUAAGAUUAACUGAAACUAUGAUGAGGCAUAUUUUAACCUAGGGGCAGAGCUGGCAGCUAAUUUUUACCCUGUCUAAGGUUUUCAACUAUGCUCUUUAAAUGUUCCACAUGAUUAGAAUAGCUCCCUUUCAUUUCUCAUCAACGCAUUUUUUUUGAGGUUUGUCAAUUUCUAUUGUUGGUUUGGAAAAACCUUUGCAUCAAUACACAUUUAGAACCUUCAGAAUUCCCCUUCGAUAUCAAAAGUGUGCCCGUGGCUACUCAACCUUUGAUAGAAGAUAAGAAAGCUGAUGUCUCCAUCAUUGGGAAGUCCAAAGAUAAAGUUGCUGCUUCACGUCAAGAUAUAUUUGCAGGAGAGGU
Parasteatoda tepidariorum (common house spider) is the source of this 548-nucleotide non-coding RNA. Lineage: Eukaryota; Metazoa; Arthropoda; Arachnida; Araneae; Theridiidae. The record is from RefSeq and is a predicted model, not a curated record.